UACAAGUUCACCAUCCAGUAAAAGGAACCCAAGAGAAAAGGACACAGAGGAGCUACAAAAUGAGAUAGACAAAUUGAAGGAAAGGAUAGUUAUAUAUCGUAAUAACCUAGACCCUGUCAAGAUUAGAGCAGAAUUAGACUUAACAGACGAAUCAAUGAUCAACGUUUUAAGGGAGGAAAAUUUAAGACUGAUAGCAGAAGUUAAAUCAUACAAAUCAAAGGAUACUACAGGGAGUUCAAACCAUGAUGAGGCAUUGGAAAAGAAAGCGUCUGAGACAAAUGCAUUGAAGAAAGAAGCCGUAUACCUUAUAAGUAA
Ruditapes philippinarum (Manila clam) is the source of this 315-nucleotide long non-coding RNA. RefSeq lists it as uncharacterized. Lineage: Eukaryota; Metazoa; Mollusca; Bivalvia; Venerida; Veneridae. The transcript has 4 exons. The record is from RefSeq and is a predicted model, not a curated record.